CAGGAUGAACGCUGGCGGCGUGCUUAACACAUGCAAGUCGAACGGACUGCACGGACUGAAAUUUCGGAUGGAUGACCGUGUACGUUAGUGGCGGACGGGUGAGUAACGCGUGGGAAACCUGCCCUAUUCCGGGGGAUACCAGUUGGAAACGACUGUUAAUACCGCAUAAGCGCACACUGCCGCAUGGCAGAGUGUGAAAAAACUCCGGUGGAACAGGAUGGUCCCGCGUCUGAUUAGGCAGUUGGCGGGGUAACGGCCCACCAAACCGACGAUCAGUAGCCGACCUGAGAGGGUGACCGGCCACAUUGGGACUGAGACACGGCCCAAACUCCUACGGGAGGCAGCAGUGGGGAAUAUUGCACAAUGGGGGAAACCCUGAUGCAGCGACGCCGCCGUGAGUGAAGAAGCAUUUCGGUAUGUAAAGCUCUAUCAGCAGGGAAGAAGAUGACGGUACCUGCACAAGAAGCCCCGGCUAACUGCGUGCCAGCCGCUGC
Molecule: ribosomal RNA, 494 nt
Filed under: uncultured bacterium
Lineage: Bacteria
Description: bacterial SSU rRNA
Rfam family: Bacterial small subunit ribosomal RNA
Source: RNAcentral